This 235-nucleotide ribosomal RNA is filed under the name uncultured bacterium. RNAcentral describes it as "partial 16S ribosomal RNA". It matches the Rfam family "Bacterial small subunit ribosomal RNA", at positions 99 to 334 of the family's 1533-position model. The record is from RNAcentral.
CGGACGGGUGAGUAACGCGUGGGUAACCUGCCUUGUACAGGGGGAUAACAGUUGGAAACGGCUGCUAAUACCGCAUAAGCGCACGGCAUCGCAUGAUGCAGUGUGAAAAACUCCGGUGGUAUAAGAUGGACCCGCGUUGGAUUAGCUAGUUGGUGAGGUAACGGCCCACCAAGGCGACGAUCCAUAGCCGGCCUGAGAGGGUGAACGGCCACAUUGGGACUGAGACACGGCCCAG